GCCGCGGUAGCUCAGCCUCGCUAGAGCGCUGCCCUGGUAUUUAGGGCAGAAAGGCAGAGGUCCCGGGUUCAAAUCCCGGCCGCGGCU
RNAcentral lists this transfer RNA (87 nucleotides) under Stygiolobus caldivivus. RNAcentral describes it as "Stygiolobus sp. KN-1 tRNA-Thr". It matches the Rfam family "tRNA". From Rfam's summary of the family: Transfer RNA (tRNA) molecules are approximately 80 nucleotides in length. The record is from RNAcentral. Lineage: Archaea; Thermoproteati; Thermoproteota; Thermoprotei; Sulfolobales; Sulfolobaceae.